Molecule: transfer RNA, 72 nt
Filed under: Sphaerodactylus townsendi
Lineage: Eukaryota; Metazoa; Chordata; Lepidosauria; Squamata; Sphaerodactylidae
Description: tRNA-Ala
Rfam family: tRNA
About the family: Transfer RNA (tRNA) molecules are approximately 80 nucleotides in length. Their secondary structure includes four short double-helical elements and three loops (D, anti-codon, and T loops).
Source: RNAcentral
GGGGCUGUGGUUCAGUAGUAGAACAUCUGCUUGGCAAACACAAGGGUCCAGGUUCAAUCGCGGGCAGCUCCA